RNAcentral lists this unclassified non-coding RNA (21 nucleotides) under Mus musculus (house mouse). Its description in RNAcentral is "oocyte_clustered_small_RNA11591". Lineage: Eukaryota; Metazoa; Chordata; Mammalia; Rodentia; Muridae. The record is from RNAcentral.
AUAGAACCAAGACGACCAGCC